This 69-nucleotide transfer RNA is filed under the name uncultured Bullifex sp. It matches the Rfam family "tRNA". From Rfam's summary of the family: Transfer RNA (tRNA) molecules are approximately 80 nucleotides in length. Their secondary structure includes four short double-helical elements and three loops (D, anti-codon, and T loops). Lineage: Bacteria; Pseudomonadati; Spirochaetota; Spirochaetia; Spirochaetales; Spirochaetaceae. The record is from RNAcentral.
GCCUAUAGCUCAGUGGUUAGAGCUGCGGACUCAUAACCCGUAGGUCGGUGGUUCAAAUCCACCUGGGCC